Molecule: ribosomal RNA, 157 nt
Filed under: Funneliformis mosseae
Lineage: Eukaryota; Fungi; Glomeromycota; Glomeromycetes; Glomerales; Glomeraceae
Description: 5.8S ribosomal RNA
Rfam family: 5.8S ribosomal RNA
About the family: 5.8S ribosomal RNA (5.8S rRNA) is a component of the large subunit of the eukaryotic ribosome. It is transcribed by RNA polymerase I as part of the 45S precursor that also contains 18S and 28S rRNA.
Source: RNAcentral
UCACUUUCAACAACGGAUCUCUUGGCUCUCGCAUCGAUGAAGAACGCAGCGAAAUGCGAUAAGUAGUGUGAAUUGCAUAAUUUUGUGAAUCUUCGAAUCUUUGAACGCAAAUUGCACUCCUGGUAUUCCGGGGAGUAUGCCUGUUUGAGGGUCGUUA